GAUGGUAGUGUAUUGGACUACCAUGGCGUUAACGGGUGACGGAGAAUUAGGGUUCGAUUCCGGAGAGGGAGCCUGAGAAACGGCUACCACAUCUAAGGAAGGCAGCAGGCGCGUAAAUUACCCAAUCCUGACUCAGGGAGGUAGUGACAAGAAAUAACGGACCGAAGCCUAUGUUUCGGGAUUGCAAUGAGUAGAAUUUAAACCCCUUUACGAGGAUCAAUUGGAGGGCAAGUCUGGUGCCAGCAGCCGCGGUAAUA
This 257-nucleotide ribosomal RNA is filed under the name uncultured eukaryote. Its description in RNAcentral is "partial 18S rRNA". It matches the Rfam family "Eukaryotic small subunit ribosomal RNA", at positions 324 to 584 of the family's 1831-position model. The record is from RNAcentral.